This 707-nucleotide long non-coding RNA is filed under the name Erythranthe guttata (spotted monkey flower). RNAcentral's name for it is "long non-coding RNA (EGUT_LNC002259)". The record is from RNAcentral. Lineage: Eukaryota; Viridiplantae; Streptophyta; Magnoliopsida; Lamiales; Phrymaceae.
CUACAGGUGGGGAAGUAUAACGGCAGAAGAAAUUAUACAUAAUCAAAGAUUAGAUUUUCAAUAUAAAUUCAACGAAAAUUGAAUCGGGUUUCCUUACCUUAUGACAGAGAAAGGAAAAUCCACAACAGCCCACCAGAAUAAACAGCUCAAGUUACCACUUCUCUCUAAAUACUGUUCAAUAACAAAAUGAAAUAAAAUUAUUAUAACCCUAAAACAAACCGAAUCAAUCUUUCGCAUAUUCAAGAAUUAAUUUACAAUAAUAACCGAAUUACCAAGAUUAAUUUUUAAGUAAAAUAAAAACCCUAAAAAUUCAAUCUUUGGAGAAAGCUAACAUGAUUACAUUUGAUCUAAUGACGGAACAUAUUAAAAGUAGAAAAUAAGAAACAAUUUGAAUUGAGGCAAAUAUCUGCAGACGCCAAAUUACUUGUCAAAUAGAAUUAACAAUAAAAUUAAAAUUAAAAUUAAAAUAAAAAUAAAAAUCAACAGAUCAAAGAAUCGUUCCGAAAUUCAUACCUGCGAAAAAAGAUCUAAAGCUGCGCUUCUUGUUCGGUGGUAGCCUGAGAAUUUGGGGGCGGGGGCUGUUAUUUAGUACAAAUAUUUUGUUCGCCUUCUCUAGAAACUUCUACUGGUUGGGUGAGCUGCUUAUUAUAGAGGAUUGUUAUUAAAUAUUUGGAAAGAAAUAAAUUAGCUAAAAACCCUAAUCCUAA